GAUGAACGCUGGCGGCGUGCCUAAUACAUGCAAGUCGAGCGAACGGACGAGAAGCUUGCUUCUCUGAUGUUAGCGGCGGACGGGUGAGUAACACGUGGAUAACCUACCUAUAAGACUGGGAUAACUUCGGGAAACCGGAGCUAAUACCGGAUGAUAUUUUGAACCGCAUGGUUCAAAAGUGAAAGACGGUCUUGCUGUCACUUAUAGAUGGAUCCGCGCUGCAUUAGCUAGUUGGUAAGGUAACGGCUUACCAAGGCAACGAUGCAUAGCCGACCUGAGAGGGUGAUCGGCCACACUGGAACUGAGACACGGUCCAGACUCCUACGGGAGGCAGCAGUAGGGAAUCUUCCGCAAUGGGCGAAAGCCUGACGGAGCAACGCCGCGUGAGUGAUGAAGGUCUUCGGAUCGUAAAACUCUGUUAUUAGCGAAGAACAUAUGUGUAAGUAACUGUGCACAUCUUGACGGUACCUAAUCAGAAAGCCACGGCUAACUACGUG
Molecule: ribosomal RNA, 497 nt
Filed under: uncultured bacterium
Lineage: Bacteria
Description: partial 16S ribosomal RNA
Rfam family: Bacterial small subunit ribosomal RNA
Source: RNAcentral